UGGGGAUGUGUUCACCUCCUUU
This 22-nucleotide ribosomal RNA is filed under the name Mycoplasma sp. RNAcentral describes it as "partial 16S ribosomal RNA". Lineage: Bacteria; Bacillati; Mycoplasmatota; Mollicutes; Mycoplasmatales; Mycoplasmataceae. The record is from RNAcentral.